This 1439-nucleotide ribosomal RNA is filed under the name Lactiplantibacillus plantarum. RNAcentral describes it as "bacterial SSU rRNA". It matches the Rfam family "Bacterial small subunit ribosomal RNA". The record is from RNAcentral. Lineage: Bacteria; Bacillati; Bacillota; Bacilli; Lactobacillales; Lactobacillaceae.
AUUAAUUUGAGAGUUUGAUCCUGGCUCAGGACGAACGCUGGCGGCGUGCCUAAUACAUGCAAGUCGAACGUUUACAUUUGAGUGAGUGGCGAACUGGUGAGUAACACGUGGGAAACCUGCCCAGAAGCGGGGGAUAACACCUGGAAACAGAUGCUAAUACCGCAUAACAACUUGGACCGCAUGGUCCGAGCUUGAAAGAUGGCUUCGGCUAUCACUUUUGGAUGGUCCCGCGGCGUAUUAGCUAGAUGGUGGGGUAACGGCUCACCAUGGCAAUGAUACGUAGCCGACCUGAGAGGGUAAUCGGCCACAUUGGGACUGAGACACGGCCCAAACUCCUACGGGAGGCAGCAGUAGGGAAUCUUCCACAAUGGACGAAAGUCUGAUGGAGCAACGCCGCGUGAGUGAAGAAGGGUUUCGGCUCGUAAAACUCUGUUGUUAAAGAAGAACAUAUCUGAGAGUAACUGUUCAGGCCAGAAAGCCACGGCUAACUACGUGCCAGCAGCCGCGGUAAUACGUAGGUGGCNAGCGUUGUCCGGAUUUAUUGGGCGUAAAGCGAGCGCAGGCGGUUUUUUAAGUCUGAUGUGAAAGCCUUCGGCUCAACCGAAGAAGUGCAUCGGAAACUGGGAAACUUGAGUGCAGAAGAGGACAGUGGAACUCCAUGUGUAGCGGUGAAAUGCGUAGAUAUAUGGAAGAACACCAGUGGCGAAGGCGGCUGUCUGGUCUGUAACUGACGCUGAGGCUCGAAAGUAUGGGUAGCAAACAGGAUUAGAUACCCUGGUAGUCCAUACCGUAAACGAUGAAUGCUAAGUGUUGGAGGGUUUCCGCCCUUCAGUGCUGCAGCUAACGCAUUAAGCAUUCCGCCUGGGGAGUACGGCCGCAAGGAAUUGACGGGGGCCCGCACAAGCGGUGGAGCAUGUGGUUUAAUUCGAAGCUACGCGAAGAACCUUACCAGGUCUUGACAUACUAUGCAAAUCUAAGAGAUUAGACGUUCCCUUCGGGGACACGGAUACAGGUGGUGCAUGGUNGUCGUCAGCUCGUGUCGUGAGAUGUUGGGUUAAGUCCCGCAACGAGCGCAACCCUUAUUAUCAGUUGCCAGCAUUAAGUUGGGCACUCUGGUGAGACUGCCGGUGACAAACCGGAGGAAGGUGGGGAUGACGUCAAAUCAUCAUGCCCCUUAUGACCUGGGCUACACACGUGCUACAAUGGAUGGUACAACGAGUUGCGAACUCGCGAGAGUAAGCUAAUCUCUUAAAGCCAUUCUCAGUUCGGAUUGUAGGCUGCAACUCGCCUACAUGAAGUCGGAAUCGCUAGUAAUCGCGGAUCAGCAUGCCGCGGUGAAUACGUUCCCGGGCCUUGUACACACCGCCCGUCACACCAUGAGAGUUUGUAACACCCAAAGUCGGUGGGGUAACCUUUUAGGAACCAGCCGCCUAAGGUGG